RNAcentral lists this ribosomal RNA (429 nucleotides) under Gemmatimonadota bacterium. RNAcentral describes it as "Gemmatimonadetes bacterium partial 16S ribosomal RNA". It matches the Rfam family "Bacterial small subunit ribosomal RNA", at positions 355 to 776 of the family's 1533-position model. Lineage: Bacteria; Pseudomonadati; Gemmatimonadota. The record is from RNAcentral.
UAGGGAAUCUUCGGCAAUGGACGCACGUCUGACCGAGCAACGCCGCGUGAGUGAAGAAGGUUUUCGGAUCGUAAAACUCUGUUGUUAGAGAAGAACAAGGACGUUAGUAACUGAACGUCCCCUGACGGUAUCUAACCAGAAAGCCACGGCUAACUACGUGCCAGCAGCCGCGGUAAUACGUAGGUGGCAAGCGUUGUCCGGAUUUAUUGGGCGUAAAGCGAGCGCAGGCGGUUUCUUAAGUCGGAUGUGAAAGCCCCCGGCUCAACCGGGGAGGGUCAUUGGAAACUGGGAGACUUGAGUGCAGAAGAGGAGAGUGGAAUUCCAUGUGUAGCGGUGAAAUGCGUAGAUAUAUGGAGGAAAACCAGUGGCGAGGGCGGCUCGCUGGUCUGUAACUGACGCUGAGGCUCGAAAGCGUGGGGAGCAAACAGG